Molecule: ribosomal RNA, 99 nt
Filed under: Accumulibacter sp.
Lineage: Bacteria; Pseudomonadati; Pseudomonadota; Betaproteobacteria
Description: partial 16S ribosomal RNA
Rfam family: Bacterial small subunit ribosomal RNA
Source: RNAcentral
GAACUGAAGAGUUUGAUCCUGGCUCAGAUUAAACGCUGGCGGCAUGCCUUACACAUGCAAGUCGAACGGCAGCACGGGGGCAACCCUGGUGGCGAGUGG